GAUGAACGCUAGCUACAGGCUUAACACAUGCAAGUCGAGGGGCAGCAUGGUCUUAGCUUGCUAAGGCCGAUGGCGACCGGCGCACGGGUGAGUAACACGUAUCCAACCUGCCGUCUACUCUUGGACAGCCUUCUGAAAGGAAGAUUAAUACAAGAUGGCAUCAUGAGUCCGCAUGUUCACAUGAUUAAAGGUAUUCCGGUAGACGAUGGGGAUGCGUUCCAUUAGAUAGUAGGCGGGGUAACGGCCCACCUAGUCUUCGAUGGAUAGGGGUUCUGAGAGGAAGGUCCCCCACAUUGGAACUGAGACACGGUCCAAACUCCUACGGGAGGCAGCAGUGAGGAAUAUUGGUCAAUGGGCGAGAGCCUGAACCAGCCAAGUAGCGUGAGGGAUGACUGCCCUAUGGGUUGUAAACUUCUUUUAUAAAGGAAUAAAGUCGGGUAUGCAUACCCGUUUGCAUGUACUUUAUGAAUAAGGAUCGGCUAACUCCGUGCCAGCAGCCGCGGUAAUACGGAGGAUCCGAGCGUUAUCCGGAUUUAUUGGGUUUAAAGGGAGCGUAGAUGGAUGUUUAAGUCAGUUGUGAAAGUUUGCGGCUCAACCGUAAAAUUGCAGUUGAUACUGGAUAUCUUGAGUGCAGUUGAGGCAGGCGGAAUUCGUGGUGUAGCGGUGAAAUGCUUAGAUAUCACGAAGAACUCCGAUUGCGAAGGCAGCCUGCUAAGCUGCAACUGACAUUGAGGCUCGAAAGUGUGGGUAUCAAACAGGAUUAGAUACCCUGGUAGUCCACACGGUAAACGAUGAAUACUCGCUGUUUGCGAUAUACAGCAAGCGGCCAAGCGAAAGCGUUAAGUAUUCCACCUGGGGAGUACGCCGGCAACGGUGAAACUCAAAGGAAUUGACGGGGGCCCGCACAAGCGGAGGAACAUGUGGUUUAAUUCGAUGAUACGCGAGGAACCUUACCCGGGCUUAAAUUGCAGAUGAAUUACGGUGAAAGCCGUAAGCCGCAAGGCAUCUGUGAAGGUGCUGCAUGGUUGUCGUCAGCUCGUGCCGUGAGGUGUCGGCUUAAGUGCCAUAACGAGCGCAACCCUUGUUGUCAGUUACUAACAGGUUCCGCUGAGGACUCUGACAAGACUGCCAUCGUAAGAUGUGAGGAAGGUGGGGAUGACGUCAAAUCAGCACGGCCCUUACGUCCGGGGCUACACACGUGUUACAAUGGGGGGUACAGAGGGCCGCUACCACGCGAGUGGAUGCCAAUCCCAAAAACCUCUCUCAGUUCGGACUGGAGUCUGCAACCCGACUCCACGAAGCUGGAUUCGCUAGUAAUCGCGCAUCAGCCACGGCGCGGUGAAUACGUUCCCGGGCCU
RNAcentral lists this ribosomal RNA (1358 nucleotides) under uncultured bacterium. Its description in RNAcentral is "bacterial SSU rRNA". It matches the Rfam family "Bacterial small subunit ribosomal RNA", at positions 28 to 1381 of the family's 1533-position model. The record is from RNAcentral.